This 80-nucleotide microRNA precursor is filed under the name Pteropus vampyrus (large flying fox). Its description in RNAcentral is "miRNA (ENSPVAG00000028280.1)". The record is from RNAcentral. Lineage: Eukaryota; Metazoa; Chordata; Mammalia; Chiroptera; Pteropodidae.
UGCUCUGGAUUAGGCUUUGGCUUAAGGGAAUAUUGUGGUUGGUUUGAUCUACCCAGACCACUAAAACUUUCCAUAUCGGC